RNAcentral lists this ribosomal RNA (828 nucleotides) under Mycobacterium sp. RNAcentral's name for it is "bacterial SSU rRNA". It matches the Rfam family "Bacterial small subunit ribosomal RNA", at positions 107 to 928 of the family's 1533-position model. Lineage: Bacteria; Bacillati; Actinomycetota; Actinomycetes; Mycobacteriales; Mycobacteriaceae. The record is from RNAcentral.
UGAGUAACACGUGGGCAAUCUGCCCUGCACUUCGGGAUAAGCCUGGGAAACUGGGUCUAAUACCGGAUAGGACCUUUAGGCGCAUGCCUUUUGGUGGAAAGCUUUUGCGGUGUGGGAUGGGCCCGCGGCCUAUCAGCUUGUUGGUGGGGUGAUGGCCUACCAAGGCGACGACGGGUAGCCGGCCUGAGAGGGUGUCCGGCCACACUGGGACUGAGAUACGGCCCAGACUCCUACGGGAGGCAGCAGUGGGGAAUAUUGCACAAUGGGCGCAAGCCUGAUGCAGCGACGCCGCGUGGGGGAUGACGGCCUUCGGGUUGUAAACCUCUUUCACCAUCGACGAAGGUCCGGGUUUUCUCGGAUUGACGGUAGGUGGAGAAGAAGCACCGGCCAACUACGUGCCAGCAGCCGCGGUAAUACGUAGGGUGCGAGCGUUGUCCGGAAUUACUGGGCGUAAAGAGCUCGUAGGUGGUUUGUCGCGUUGUUCGUGAAAUCUCACGGCUUAACUGUGAGCGUGCGGGCGAUACGGGCAGACUAGAGUACUGCAGGGGAGACUGGAAUUCCUGGUGUAGCGGUGGAAUGCGCAGAUAUCAGGAGGAACACCGGUGGCGAAGGCGGGUCUCUGGGCAGUAACUGACGCUGAGGAGCGAAAGCGUGGGGAGCGAACAGGAUUAGAUACCCUGGUAGUCCACGCCGUAAACGGUGGGUACUAGGGUGUGGGGUUUCCUUCCUUGGGAUCCGUGCCGUAGCUAACGCAUUAAGUACCCCCGCCUGGGGGAGUACGGGCCGCAAGGCUAAAACUCAAAGGAAUUUGACGGGGGGCCCGCACAA